GUGCCAGCCGCCGCGGUAAUACAGAGGUCCCGAGCGUUGUUCGGAUUCACUGGGCGUAAAGGGUGCGCAGGUGGCUUGGCAAGUUCGAUGUGAAAGCUCAGGGCUUAACCCUGAAAUGGCAUUGAAUACUGCUGGGCUGGAGGUUUGGAGGGGGGACUGGAAUUCUCGGUGUAGCAGUGAAAUGCGUAGAUAUCGAGAGGAACACCAGUGGCGAAGGCGAGUCCCUGGACAACACCUGACACUGAGGCACGAAAGCUAGGGGAGCAAACAGGAUUAGAUACCCCUGUAGUCC
RNAcentral lists this ribosomal RNA (292 nucleotides) under uncultured bacterium. RNAcentral describes it as "partial 16S ribosomal RNA". It matches the Rfam family "Bacterial small subunit ribosomal RNA", at positions 505 to 796 of the family's 1533-position model. The record is from RNAcentral.